This 500-nucleotide ribosomal RNA is filed under the name uncultured bacterium. RNAcentral describes it as "partial 16S ribosomal RNA". It matches the Rfam family "Bacterial small subunit ribosomal RNA", at positions 30 to 523 of the family's 1533-position model. The record is from RNAcentral.
AUUGAACGCUGGCGGCAUGCUUUACACAUGCAAGUCGAACGGUAACAGGGUGCUUGCACCGCUGACGAGUGGCGAACGGGUGAGUAAUGCGUCGGAACGUGCCGAGUAGUGGGGGAUAACGCAGCGAAAGUUGUGCUAAUACCGCAUACGUACUGAGGUAGAAAGUGGGGGACCUUCGGGCCUUACGCUAUUCGAGCGGCCGACGUCUGAUUAGCUAGUAGGUGAGGUAAAGGCUCACCUAGGCGACGAUCAGUAGCGGGUCUGAGAGGAUGAUCCGCCACACUGGGACUGAGACACGGCCCAGACUCCUACGGGAGGCAGCAGUGGGGAAUUUUGGACAAUGGGCGAAAGCCUGAUCCAGCCAUGCCGCGUGUCUGAAGAAGGCCUCCGGGUUGUAAAGGACUUUUGUCAGGGAGGAAAUCCCUAGCGUUAAUACCGCUGGGGGAUGACAGUACCUGAAGAAUAAGCACCGGCUAACUACGUGCCAGCAGCCGCCGUAA